UUGAAGAAGAAAAGUUUAGGGUUCCAUAGACACCAAGCUUGAAAAUCAAAGGUAAGCUUAUAAAUGUGUAGGAAAUAACAUCUUCUCAUUUCUUCAUGCAUGAAUUUGAAUUAUAAAGUUUUAAUUUAUAGUUUAUUCAAUCCUUUCCUAAGACAUAAAUUGACCUAGGUGAAGGAACAUCAAAGGGAAAGGAGAUAGCUAGAGAAUAGAAGAGGAAAAGAAAGAGGAAUUCAAGAAAGGUUUGGUGUUUGAAUGAUUUUCUAUUUUCUUUUGAUUCUGCCAUGAAUAAGUGAGAUUAGAGGUUGAUUUUACUUGCUGGAAAUGUUGCUUUAAUUGUAUAAAUAUGUUAUAUGAAUGUUAAAAUGAUGUUUAAAAGGCUUAGAGUAAAGAAAUUUAAGAUGAGAGCUAAAAGUGCAAACCUAACAGAAUAGAUUGUAACAUGGCAGUUUGUGUUGACAACUUCAUAACUUAUUGUGUAUUUAUUGAAAUUAGGCCUAAGAUAUACUAAAUGAAAGCUGAAACAAAGAGCUAAAACUUUUAUGAAUUGACCAAAUUCUGAAUCUGUAGGUAAGAUGAUGAAAAUUUCAAGUGAACCUAAACUGGACACAGAGUUAGUGCAUCCGGAAUAGUAUGUAAAGAUUAUACCAUAACUAAUUAUGUACUCAGUGAAAUUUGUUAAGACUAGUACUAAAUGAAUCUUAAGAAGUAUACCUAAAACUUUGUAGAAGAUACUUAAGUUUGAAUAUGUAUGAAAAUACAUGAAUUUGAUAUGUUUUGUAAUACUAUAAACAAGUACCAAUACUGGACUGAUUAAGACCUUAUUGCACAGCUUGUAAAGAAAAAUUUAUAAAUUAAGUUAGAGUGAUCAGAUUAGCAUGAACCAUACCUUGUUGGAAAGAUAAGACAUAAAUGUACAUUUGUUAUGAAGAAACUGAAGUCAAAUUGUAACUCUAAGCUACUUGAAAUUUUUAUGCAAUAUAAGGCAGAAUGCAAUUUUCUCAAAUUGGAAGGCAAAAUGCAGUUUUCUCAAAUUGGAAUGCUAUGUUGACAAAGUUUUGCACCAUUUGCCAUGAAUUUAUCAUCUUGUUGACUUUGACAUAUGAUAUAUGUAUUUUGGAAAUGAAUUCAAAUAGCUUCAAAUGAUGUGCAUUUACAUUGAAUUAAUGAUACUUGGCCCUGGUAAACGUAAUAGGAGUCGAGGUUAGCUUAAGGGUAUGGCAUGCCAUAUAAACAUACAGAGUUCGCAGUACUACUACCGAUACAUGAUUUUUAUUUGAGGUUACAUAUCAGGUACCUCAUAAGCACGGUCAUAGAGCCCUGCUAUCACAGUUUUGGCCUCUGAGCCUACCGUUCGGCACUCUGUGCCUACCGUUAUAAUUCCUUAUCUACCUAGUCGACCCUACUAUGUGUUUAUAAGGGCUAAGGACCAAAUUAAGAUUGAUACUUGUUUUGGUGAAAUUAUCAGUGAAUGUUAACAACUUUUGAUUAGCUUGAAAUUGUUUACUUGAUUAUCUAUAUAAGUGAACUCGUUUGCUUUAUUUUGUUAUUUGUUUUCUAUCACCCACUGAGCAUUAGCUCAGCAUGUUGGUUCUUACCUCACGCAGGUUGUAGAUAAAGUAGAUACGCGGAGUUCAUCAGAGGUCUACAUCAGAUAUCAAGGCCAUUAUCAUAGCUGGUAGUUUUGAGUCUCUGAGUCAUAGUACAGUUAUAUUUUGGCAUGUACAUAUUUAAUAGAGUGAGUUGUAAAGGUUAUG
RNAcentral lists this long non-coding RNA (1754 nucleotides) under Manihot esculenta (cassava). Its description in RNAcentral is "long non-coding RNA (MESC_LNC002095)". The record is from RNAcentral. Lineage: Eukaryota; Viridiplantae; Streptophyta; Magnoliopsida; Malpighiales; Euphorbiaceae.